RNAcentral lists this ribosomal RNA (380 nucleotides) under uncultured eukaryote. RNAcentral's name for it is "partial 18S ribosomal RNA". It matches the Rfam family "Eukaryotic small subunit ribosomal RNA", at positions 592 to 976 of the family's 1831-position model. The record is from RNAcentral.
CAAUAGCGUAUAUUAAAGUUGUUGCAGUUAAAAAGCUCGUAGUUGGAUUUGUGGCGUACGGUGUGUUCCGGGCACUUGUUGUCUGAGUAACCUGCUGUUGCCAUCCUAGGGUGGAACCUGUGUGGCAUUAGGUUGUCGUGCAGGGGAUGCCCAUCAUUUACUGUGAAAAAAUUAGAGUGUUCAAAGCAGGCUUAUGCCGUUGAAUAUAUUAGCAUGGAAUAAUGAGAUAGGACUUUUUUGCUAUUUUGUUGGUUUGCGCAAAGAGGUAAUGAUUAAUAGGGACAGUUGGGGGUAUUCGUAUUCCAUUGUCAGAGGUGAAAUUCUUGGAUUUUUGGAAGACGAACUACUGCGAAAGCAUUUACCAAGGAUGUUUUCAUUAA